Molecule: long non-coding RNA, 4276 nt
Organism: Nyctereutes procyonoides (raccoon dog)
Lineage: Eukaryota; Metazoa; Chordata; Mammalia; Carnivora; Canidae
Exons: 2
Source: RefSeq, a predicted model, not a curated record
CUUUGGCCCCAGUGAGGGGGUUAAGGCUGUACUAUUCUAUUUCUUCUUGGAAAAUGAAGUCAGGCCAGAUUAAGGGUGCCACUGACAAGGCCAUGUGAGCAGCAUCCUCCUGGUGGUGGCCGCAAUGCUCUGUACCUUGUAAAGCUCUGUGCGCAUCCUAUCCAUCACUUACCAUCAGGAUGACCCCAAAGCGGAAGGCGCAUACAUCUUAAGUGAAUGGUCACAAAGCGGAUACACCUGUGCACCCACCACCCAGGUAAAGGACUAGAACAUGACCAGCAUCCUGAAGCCCUUCCCCAGGCCUCUCCAGGUCCCUGACCUCUCUUCCCCAAGGGUAAGACCUAUCAUGACUUCUAACACCGUAGCUUAGUUUUGCCAGAGUCUCUUGUUUGUGUGUGUGUGUUGUAUAACCUUUUUUUUUCUUCCCUGGUUUCUUUUACUCAGUAUUAUGUUUGUGAGAUUCAGUCAUGUUACUCAGAAAAGCUGUGGCUCAUUGGUUUUUGUUACUGUAUAGUAUCCCAUCAUCUGAAAGAGCCAACAAUCUGUUUACAAAUUCAACACUGGCAGAUAUUUUGUUUUUUUCCUAGCCUGGAGCUAUUACCAAAAAUACUCCUGUGAGCAUUGUCUGUGCUCCUUGGGGUAUACAUGCACACAUUUCUGCAUGUGAUGACAGUCAUAGAGCAUGCACGUGUUCAGCCUGGGGAGAUAAUGCCAAACACGUUUGUGUCAAAUGGUCAUACUCACUGACCCUCACACUACCAGAGUGUCAGGUCUCUUUGCUCCACCUCCUCCCCAUCCCUAGCAUUAUCUUUUUAACUUUAGCCAUUUUGGUGAGUGUGUUUAUGUAUAAAUAUAUAUUUUAUAAUUGUGUGUAUAUAUUUAUAUAGUCAUAUAUAAUAUAGUUGUAUAUAUACGUGUUUGUGUGUGUAUGUAGCUAUAUUUCAUUGAGGUAUUAGGGUACUGUAUUUUUUUUUUCAAAAUUUUACUUAUUUAUUUGAGAGAGAGAGAGAGAACUAGUGGGGGAGAGUGGCAGAGGAAGAGAGAAAGAGAGAGGGAGAGAGGAAGCAGACUCCCCACUGACUAGGGAGCCUGAUGUGGGGCUCGACCCCAGGACCUGGAGAUCAGGACCUGAGCUGAAGGCAGACACUUAACUGACUGAGCCCCCCAGGUGCCCAGAGUACUGUAUUUUAAUAAACAACUAAUUUUGUUUCCUUUAAUAGCAGAACAGGGAAAAUCAUCUAUGAUUUCAUAAGGAUCAUUAAAAUCUUUUUGGUAAUGAAUGCACAUCAUCCUGUUUCCUUCUAGGCCCAUCUCAGUGAUCAAUCCAUGUCCCAACUGACAACAAUGUGACACAUCCAUCAGAACCAUCUAGCAAACAGAAGGAUUCUUCUGUGUCUUUGAAACAGAACAAGGGAAAUAGUCGAUUACUAUAAGCAAUAACAGAAAAACAACAAAAUUUUUAAAAAACGAAGCAUAAACAGUAGAAUAACUGAAUAUUACAGUUAGAUUCAUGUAACUCAACCAACCCAAAGCCAAGAGAGGUUAAAUGAUUAAGACCCAGAUCAAUUGCAGACAGAGCCAGAAGUAGAAUUCAAAUCCCCACCCUCUUACCCUUUAGGAUACCCAAAUUUUUAGUCAGUGGUCUUUCUGUAAUCUGAAAUGUCUUUAAAUUUAAUUUCCCAAAAUUCAGAAUAAUUUCAUAAGUGCACUAAGUUAACCAUGAAAAAGAUCACUAUGUCUUGUGUUAAAAAAAAAAAAAAAAGAUUUUAUUUAUUUACUUUACAGAGAGAGAUCGUGCACACAGGGAUGGUGGUGGAUAGGGGCAGGGAGAGAGGGUGAAGCCGACUCCUCAUCCCAGGACCCUGAGAUGAUGACCUGAGCAGAAGGCAGAUGCCUGACAGAGCCACCCAGGCAUUCCCCACUAUGUCUUGUUAAAGAACAAAGUUAAACUGAGUAAAUUGAAAUAUCAAAUUGCCUUUAUUUAAGACCCAUGAGUCAGCAGCAUCCCAUCUAACAAAUAGAGUAUUCCAAGGAAUUGAACCAAGUAGAAAGCUUUGAGAGGCAGAAGAGGAUGGGAUAAUAAAGUUAAAUAGCAGAAGAAAAGAAAGGAUGGUUUCAGGCAAGGUCACCUUCCCUUAAGGGCAAGGGCAGGGGGUCUUAUGCAGAUUACCUCACUGGAGCUGGUCAGGAAAUUCCAGACUGAUGAGUUUAAAACCGAGAGAGGCUCAAAGUGCAGUUAGGUUAGCCGGGAAGUCUUGGAGCAACUCCAUUUGGGGCCUAUUGUUUCUUUUUUAACAGUUCCCACCCCUCUUGGUCAAACUUUCAGCCUGAGAUGUGAUCAAAAUUGAAGGCAUUAGCACCAUCUCAGCUCCUGCUCUAGUUCUCACUGCUUUCAUUCAUCCUGGGUUUUGCUGACUCUCUGUGGUACUCACAGGUCAUGACUUCAGGCUCACAGUUUUUUAGUUGGUCAUUGUCUUUGUUCCCUUUUUGUCAUUCCAGUCUUCGAGAGAGAUCAUUUACAUAGUGGUUAGUGCUGCAAACAUGUAUUUAAAGCUCUCGGGAGAAUACAGCACACCAGGGAGAUUAUUGUAACUAUAAGCAGCAUAAUUCCCAACAUUUGAAGCAUACUUCAGAGCCAUGGCCCCUAAGAACAAACCAAUCAAAGAAUGACCCCAUUGACCAAGUCACCCUUUUUAAACCAAGUGGUUUGCUGAGUAAUCUCACAUAACUGAGUUGCAGCUUCCCCAGAAGUGUUAAUCCAGGUACAGCUAGUUCAGUUGGCUACAACACAGACACCUCCUUACUCAGAACAGCUUUGGCCCGAGAGUCUAAGGAUCUUUGCUGGGUAGCUAGUGUCUUAGCAACAGAAUCUGCAGUGUCUCUAAGAGUUAAGGAGAGGUUUCGAAUCAUAUUCUCAUUUGUAUUUAUUCCUAAACUGGGGGGCAGUCAGGGUUUUAGCAUGUAUAGGGAGAGAAUCUCCAAACCUGAAAUAAAAAAUCAUUUUAAGUGCCUUACAAAGAUGGGUGCUGCUGGUGUGCUCUCUUAACGAAUGGGGACAGAUCUGGUCUAGAUGAUCACGGGAACCUAGGGUUCAAAUGUCCUAAGAUUCACAUAGGUAAAUUGUCUAAUUGGGUACAUACUGCUAAGUGGGGAGCAGAGAGGGGGCGCGUUCAGGCAUAAUUUGCAUUGACAUUGGGAUUCCAAGAGAAAUUUUGGUCCCAGGGAGGAUUCUUUGCAUCAUGACAAAUCUAGCAAUCUGAGAGCUAAUCCCCACCCCCUUAGCAAUGGCCUGAAGGAUACAAGCAUGGGCAUUCUCUCUCCAGGCCAAUGCCAGAGUGAAAAAAAGAUAAAGGAGAUAGGGCUUCAUGUCUAGUUAAAGUAUGAAAUCUUGAUCCAGCGUCUUGACUGAAGGCAGUCUACUUGGAUGUCAGCUACUUCUCUUCCUUGUCAAUUCAAUUUGUAGGUCUGCCCAGGGCCAGAUGUCAGGUGGAGACUUCUUUAUCAGUGAGACAAGUACUGAUUGUCUAGAGACUCAGGGUGUUCUAGAUUUGCAGUAGAGUGUGGUCAGGAGUACUUGGUAAGGUCCCUUCCGAUGAGGCAUAAUGAGGCUGUCUUCCUCUGAGGACACUCCCAGAAUACCGAGUUACCAGGCUCUAGACCGUGCCCAACAGGAUCCUUUGAAAUGGGAUCCAGAAAACCUUCUUUAAUCUCUUGUUAAUAUGCUUAAGCAUAAGACAUAAGCAUAAGACUUACUGUAGCUGGUCAUACUGGCAUGAAAGUUGUAUAACUUCAGCAGAAGGUUCUAUACCAGUAGACGUGGAUCUUUCUGUAACUAUCUUGUGUACGGUGACUUUCCCAAAAUGUAGUACUGUGAAUAAUCAGCAAGACCAAAGACAAUACUGUCAGCCAUGGAUAUCUGUGGUCUCUGCAAGUUUAGACAUUUUUAAGUUUAAAAAUCUCGUUUAGUUCCCUCAACCUUGCCUGAUGAUUGAGGGUGAUAGGGACAGUGGUAAUCCACAGGAGGUUUGCAAAGUGUUCGUUAAGGCUCAUAUGAUUUGGGGCAUCUGGGUGGCUCAGUGAGCUAAGCAUUUGCCUUCAGCUCAGGUCACCAUCUCUAGGUCCUGGGAUGGAGCCCCCCUUCAGGCUUCCUGCUCAGCCGGGGGUCUAUCCCUCUGCCCCUCCCCACCACUCAUUCUUGCUCUCUCUCAGAUCAAUAAAUUUGCUCUCUCAAAUCAAUAAAUAAAAUCUUUAAAAAAAAAAAAAAGGCUCAUGACUA